AGCGAACGCUGGCGGCAGGCCUAACACAUGCAAGUUGAACGAACCUUUCGGGGUUAGUGGCGGCCGGGUUAGUAACCCGUCGGAACGUGCAUUUAUGGUCGGCAUAACUCUGGGAAACGUGUGCUAAUACCGAAUGUGCCCUUCGGCGGAAAGAUUUAUCGCCUCUAGAGCGUCCGGCGUCUGAUUCGCUAGUUGUUUGAGGUAAUGGCUCACCAAGGCCACGUUCAGUAGAUGGUCUGGGAGGAUGAUCCGCCACAAUGGAGGUGAGACACAGCCGAAACUCCUACGGGAGGCAGCAGUGGGGAAUCGUGCGCAAUGGGCGAAAGCCUGACGCAGCCAGGCCGGGUGAAUGAUGAAGGUCGUAGGAUUGUAAAAUUCUUUCACCGGGGACGAUAAUGACGGUACCCGGAGAAGAAGCCCCGGCUAACUUCGUG
This 434-nucleotide ribosomal RNA is filed under the name uncultured bacterium. RNAcentral describes it as "partial 16S ribosomal RNA". It matches the Rfam family "Bacterial small subunit ribosomal RNA", at positions 29 to 507 of the family's 1533-position model. The record is from RNAcentral.